AUUUUCCAGGCAAGAGUACUGGAGUGGGGUGCCAUUGCCUUCUCCGAGUCCUGUCUCUAGAGGUAUCAUCCUUUAUUUAACCCACUCCUUCAGUGGCAAGCAACUCUUCCACCACCUCUGAAUAUCUUAGUUUGUCAAAAGGUUCUAAUUUCUCUUAUGUGUACAAGGAUGAAUUGAAGGAAAGAUAUAUACUUUUCCACGAAGCAUGUAUAUUGUAAGACUUCACCUUACAGGGGAAGACGACUGACCAAUGAAGAAGAAUUUCAGGCUCCAGAGUAUAUGUAGAAGUCUUCCUCCUCCUUCCCUUCUUUCCUUCCACAGAUAUUUAAUAAGCUUCUAAAUUUUAGGCUUUGUUCUAGAUUCUGAGAAUAUAAAAGAGAAAACAGACAAAGUCCUUCCCCUCAAAAAACUUAACAUCAAUUAUACUGGUAAAUAUGGAGUGUAAACAAACCAUAAAUAAAUACAAUAAAGUAUCAAAUGAGUACUUAUACAAUUUAAAGGCCUAGACAGUGACAAGUGACCAAGAAAGGCUUUUCUCAGGAGGAGACUCUCCAGCCUGGGGAAAGUCAUACAGGAAACCCUGCAUAUAGCUGAAGAAAGGAUGCCAGGCAAAGGGAAGUAUAAGUGCAUAGGUCUUGAGAUAGAGCUUUGAUUGGAACUGUCGUGACCAGCAAGGAUAUCAGUGCUCAGUUAACAAUGAACAAGAGGAGUGCUCCAACAUGAGACUGAGGUUCCAGCCAGGUGUCACAUCACAUAGGACUUGUAAGUCAUAGCGAGGACUUGGGUGUUUGUUCUAACUAUGGUAGCCAGUCAUUGGAAGAUUUUGAUCAGGAGCAUAAAAUGCUCUGACUAAUACUUUAAAAGAUCCCCUUGGAGUACUCUGGACAGAAAACUUACAUUUCCAUUUGAUUUGUACAAAAAUAGAUAAUUUGUUGAAUUGUAAAAGUUCUUUGUAAACAGGGAGUUUCUAGUCAUUUUAAUAAGUAAAUAAUUAACUGUACUGUGGAUACCUUUUUAAGCUUUCAGGAUACAAUGAUGAGACAUAAUCCCUAACCUUGUGGAAUUUAUAAUCUAGUGGUUGAGCUUUAGAAGUAAACAGAUACAUGUAAAUACUGUAGGAAGUUCUAUAAAAAUGGAGAACAUAGUGGGACAUUAAGUCCAGUGGGGAAGCCAUACAAAUUUAGGUGGACCAAGAAAGAAGUAAGAUGUGUUCAUUUAAGCUCUGUCCUUGAGGAUGGGCCAAUUGGGAGGAUGGUGGCAAAGGCUGCCAUAUAAAAUACAGGAUGAACAGUUCCAUUUGAACUUUAUGUUAACAAUGGAUUUUUAAAAAAUAUAAGUGUGUCCUAAAUAUUGCA
Molecule: long non-coding RNA, 1355 nt
Organism: Bubalus bubalis (water buffalo)
Lineage: Eukaryota; Metazoa; Chordata; Mammalia; Artiodactyla; Bovidae
Exons: 2
Source: RefSeq, a predicted model, not a curated record